CGUGAGAAUCUGCCAACAGGACGGGGACAACAGGGGGAAACCGCUGCUAAGACCCGAUAAACCGAAAGGGGAAAAAGAAAUUGCCAGUUGAUGAGCUCGCGUCGGAUUAGCUAGUUGGUAGUGUAAGGGACUACCAAGGCGACGAUCCGUAGCCGGUCUGAGAGGACGAUCGGCCACACUGGGACUGAGACACGGCCCAGACUCCUACGGGAGGCAGCAGUGGGGAAUUUUCCGCAAUGGGCGAAAGCCUGACGGAGCAAGACCGCGUGAGGGAGGAAGGCUCUUGGGUUGUAAACCUCUUUUCUCAAGGAGGAAGAAAUGACGGUACUUGAGGAAUCAGCAUCGGCUAACUCCGUGCCAGCAGCCGCGGUAAUACGGAGGAUGCAAGCGUUAUCCGGAAUGAUUGGGCGUAAAGCGUCUGCAGGUGGCAGUUCAAGUCUGCCGUUAAAGACUCCAGCUUAACUGGAGGAAGGCGGUGGAAACUGAACAGCUAGAGUGCGGUAGGGGCAGAGGGAAUUCCCGGUGUAGCGGUGAAAUGCGUAGAGAUCGGGAAGAACACCAGUGGCGAAAGCGCUCUGCUGGACCGCAACUGACACUCAGGGACGAAAGCUAGGGGAGCGAAUGGGAUUAGAUACCCCAGUAGUCCUAGCCGUAAACGAUGGAUACUAGGUGUUGUGCGUAUCGACCCGCGCAGUGCCGCAGCUAACGCGCUAAGUAUCCCGCCUGGGGAGUACGCACGCAAGUGUGAAACUCAAAGGAAUUGACGGGGGCCCGCACAAGCGGUGGAGUAUGUGGUUUAAUUCGAUGCAACGCGAAGAACCUUACCAGGACUUGACAUGUCCGGAAUCUCGGUGAAAGCUGAGAGUGCCUUCGGGAACCGGAACACAGGUGGUGCAUGGCUGUCGUCAGCUCGUGUCGUGAGAUGUUGGGUUAAGUCCCGCAACGAGCGCAACCCUCGUUUCUAGUUGCCAGCAUUAAGUUGGGCACUCUGGAGAGACUGCCGGUGACAAACCGGAGGAAGGUGGGGAUGACGUCAAGUCAGCAUGCCCCUUACGUCCUGGGCUACACACGUACUACAAUGCUUCAGACAAAGGGCAGCUAGCCAGCGAUGGUCAGCAAAUCCCAGAAACUGAGGCUCAGUUCAGAUCGCAGGCUGCAACUCGCCUGCGUGAAGGCGGAAUCGCUAGUAAUCGCCGGUCAGCAUACGGCGGUGAAUACGUUCCCGGGCCUUGUACACACCGCCCGUCACACCAUGGGAGCUGGCGGUGCCCGAAGUCGUUAUCCUAACCCCUCGGGGAGGGAGACGCCGAAGGCAAAGCUGGUGACUGGGGUGAAGUCGUAACAAGGUAGCCGUACCGGAAGGUGUGGCUGGAUCACCUCCUUUACAGGGAGACC
RNAcentral lists this ribosomal RNA (1395 nucleotides) under Phormidium sp. UTEX 1580. RNAcentral describes it as "bacterial SSU rRNA". It matches the Rfam family "Bacterial small subunit ribosomal RNA". Lineage: Bacteria; Bacillati; Cyanobacteriota; Cyanophyceae; Oscillatoriales; Oscillatoriaceae. The record is from RNAcentral.